Molecule: transfer RNA, 66 nt
Filed under: Gammaproteobacteria bacterium
Lineage: Bacteria; Pseudomonadati; Pseudomonadota; Gammaproteobacteria
Description: tRNA-Ala
Rfam family: tRNA
About the family: Transfer RNA (tRNA) molecules are approximately 80 nucleotides in length. Their secondary structure includes four short double-helical elements and three loops (D, anti-codon, and T loops).
Source: RNAcentral
GCUAUAGCUCAGCUGGGAGAGCGCAACACUGGCAGUGUUGAGGUCAGCGGUUCGAUCCCGCUUAGC